CAGAGUUUUCUCUUUCUUCACCAUUAAGAACACAGUGAGAAGGUGGCUGUCUGCAAGUUAGGGAGAGAGCCCUCAGCAGGAUCUGAAUCUGCCAGCACCUUGAUCUUCGGCUUCCUGAACUAGAUCAAAUAUAGACUUCUUCAACAAAAUAACAGCAGAAAAUCAUCCAGCAUAUCCUUAAACAACUCCCUUGAUGAUGGAUUGAUCAUUCCUAAAGUUAGGAUGUACUCACAUCCCAACAAAUUGAAAAUGCUGACCAAUCCCAGCACAGCCAACUCGAAUUUGCUCCUUCAUCAAAGUGACCAGCACCUCAUUUCUUCCUCUUUAGAAUUUAUAGAGUCCUAUGGCUAUUGAUAUCUAACAUCCUGGCUUCACUCACAUGGAUGAGCCCCACCUGGAAUGCCUAGAAGACGUGGGACAGCUGGAUCUCUCUCCACACGGUUUUUCAUUGUUGCCUCAGGUUCCAAUAAAAGCAAAAGCUGCAAGGUCUUCUGAGGCAAAGACUUAGAAAUACCACAAUGUUACUUCUGCUGCAUUCUGUUGAUAAAAGAAUCCCACAAUGCCAGCUUCAUUUAAAGGGGUAAAGAUAUAGAUUAUUCACCUUCGAUGGGAGGAACUGCAAAUGAUGUAAUUAGUGAUAAUUUUUAAUAUACUGUAAUGUAUUGACUUAUCUUUAAAAAAUGAAAAAAUAAACCAAAAACUAAAAGCAAAACAAAACUAUAAUAGAAAA
RNAcentral lists this long non-coding RNA (730 nucleotides) under Homo sapiens (human). RNAcentral's name for it is "novel transcript". The record is from RNAcentral. Lineage: Eukaryota; Metazoa; Chordata; Mammalia; Primates; Hominidae.